GCCGGGAUAGCUCAGUUGGUAGAGCACAAGACUUCCAGUCUCAGGGUCAAGGGUUCAAGCCCCACGUUGGGCA
This is a non-coding RNA of Podarcis lilfordi (Lilford's wall lizard), 73 nucleotides long. The record is from the annotation of a GenBank genome assembly. Lineage: Eukaryota; Metazoa; Chordata; Lepidosauria; Squamata; Lacertidae.